This 301-nucleotide ribosomal RNA is filed under the name uncultured bacterium. RNAcentral's name for it is "partial 16S ribosomal RNA". It matches the Rfam family "Bacterial small subunit ribosomal RNA", at positions 509 to 807 of the family's 1533-position model. The record is from RNAcentral.
CAGCAGCCGCGGGAAUACGAAGGUCCCGAGCGUUGUUCGGAAUCACUGGGCGUAAAGGGAGCGUAGGCGGCGUGGUAAGUCAGAUGUGAAAUCCCGGGGCUCAACCCCGGAACUGCAUCCGAUACUGCCAUGCUAGAGGAUUGGAGAGGUAGCUGGAAUUCUUGGUGUAGCAGUGAAAUGCGUGGAGAUCAAGAGGAACACUCGUGGCGAAAGCGAGCUACUGGACAAUAACUGGCGCUGAGGCUCGAAGGCCAGGGUAGCGAAAGGGAUUAGAUACCCCUGUAGUCCCUGUCUCUUAUAC